RNAcentral lists this ribosomal RNA (1237 nucleotides) under metagenome. RNAcentral's name for it is "bacterial LSU rRNA". It matches the Rfam family "Bacterial large subunit ribosomal RNA", at positions 1564 to 2808 of the family's 2925-position model. The record is from RNAcentral.
UGAGUACGAGAUGCUACGGCAUCGAAGCAGUCUAUGUCAUACUUCCAAGAAAAGCUUGCAAUGUCAUAAACAAAUAAUGCCUGUACCAUAACCGACACAGGUGGGUAGGUAGAGUAUACUAAGGGGCGCGAGAUAACUCUCUCUAAGGAACUCGGCAAAAUGACUCCGUAACUUCGGGAGAAGGAGUGCCUUAUUUUUAUAAGGUUGCAAUAACAAGAUCCAAGCAACUGUUUACCAAAAACACAGGUCUCCGCUAAGUCGUAAGACGAUGUAUGGGGGCUGACGCCUGCCCAGUGCCAGAAGGUUAAAGAAGUUGGUUAGCAUUAGCGAAGCUGAUAACUGAAGCCCUGGUGAACGGCGGCCGUAACGAUAACGGUCCUAAGGUAGCGAGAUUCCUUGUCGGGUAAGUUCCGACCCGCACGAAAGGCGUAAUGAUUUGGAUACUGUCUCGGAGAGGGGCUCGGUGAAAUAGACUUGUCUGUGAAGAUGCGGACUACCUGCACCUGGACAGAAAGACCCUAUGAAGCUUUACUGUAACUUGAGAUUGAAAUUGGACUUUAUCUGCGCAGUAUAGGUGGGAGACGUUGAAAAUAUUCUUGCGGGAAUAUUGGAGUCAUCAGUGAGAUACCACUCUUAUAAUGUUAGAUUUCUAACUUUGUAUCAUUAUCUGGUCAAAGAACAGUUUCAGGCGGGCAGUUUGACUGGGGCGGUCGCCUCCCAAACGGUAACGGAGGCGCACAAAGGUUUCCUCUGAACGUGUAGAAAUCGUAUCUAGAGUGUAAAGGCAUAAGGAAGCUUGACUGUGAGACCUACAAGUCGAGCAGGGACGAAAGUCGGUCUUAGUGAUCUGACGGUGCUGAGUGGAAAGGCCGUCACUCAACGGAUAAAAGUUACUCUAAGGAUAACAGGCUGAUCUCCCCCAAGAGUUCACAUCGACGGGGAGGUUUGGCACCUCGAUGUCGGCUCAUCGCAUCCUGGGGCGGUAGUACGUCCCAAGGGUUGGGCUGUUCGCCCAUGAAAGCGGUACGCGAGCUGGGUUCAGAACGUCGUGAGACAGUUCGGUCCAUAUCCGGUGUAGGCGUUAGAAUAUUGAGAGGAGCCUUCUUUAGUACGAGAGGACCGAGAAGGACAUACCUCUGGUGUACCAGUUAUCGUGCCAACGGUAAACGCUGGGUAGCCAUGUAUGGAGAGGAUAACCGCUGAAAGCAUCUAAGUGGGAAGCCCACCUCAAGAUAAG